AUUGAACGCUGGCGGCAUGCCUUACACAUGCAAGUCGAACGGCAGCGGACCUUCGGGUGCCGGCGAGUGGCGAACGGGUGAGUAAUAUAUCGGAACGUACCUUUCAGUGGGGAGUAACGUAGCGAAAGUUACGCUAAUACCGCAUAUUCUGUGAGCAGGAAAGCAGGGGAGUCGCAAGACCUUGCGCUGAUUGAGCGGCCGAUAUCAGAUUAGCUAGUUGGUGAGGUAAAGGCUCACCAAGGCGACGAUCUGUAGCGGGUCUGAGAGGAUGAUCCGCCACACUGGAACUGAGACACGGUCCAGACUCCUACGGGAGGCAGCAGUGGGGAAUUUUGGACAAUGGGCGCAAGCCUGAUCCAGCCAUGCCGCGUGAGUGAAGAAGGCC
This 385-nucleotide ribosomal RNA is filed under the name uncultured bacterium. RNAcentral's name for it is "bacterial SSU rRNA". It matches the Rfam family "Bacterial small subunit ribosomal RNA", at positions 30 to 416 of the family's 1533-position model. The record is from RNAcentral.